CCUACGGGGGGCAGCAGUGAGGAAUAUUGGUCAAUGGGCGAGAGCCUGAACCAGCCAAGUCGCGUGAAGGAUGACGGCCCUACGGGUUGUAAACUUCUUUUGUCAGGGAGCAAUUGGGUCCACGCGUGGGCUUAGCGAGAGUACCUGAAGAAAAAGCAUCGGCUAACUCCGUGCCUGCAGCCGCGGUAAUACGGAGGAUGCGAGCGUUAUCCGGAUUUAUUGGGUUUAAAGGGUGCGUAGGCGGACUAUCAAGUCAGCGGUAAAAAUUCGGGGCUCAACCCCGUCGUGCCGUUGAAACUGAUGUGCUUGAGUGGGGGAGAAGUAUGCGGAAUGCGUGGGGUAGCGGUGAAAUGCAUAGAUAUCACGCAGAACUCCGAUUGCGAAGGCAGCAUACCGGCGCCCAACUGACGCUGAAGCACGAAAGCGUGGGUAUCGAACAGGAUUAGAUACCCUUGUAGUC
This 460-nucleotide ribosomal RNA is filed under the name uncultured bacterium. RNAcentral describes it as "partial 16S ribosomal RNA". It matches the Rfam family "Bacterial small subunit ribosomal RNA", at positions 338 to 795 of the family's 1533-position model. The record is from RNAcentral.